UUGAAUUGAAUAUCACCUUGCCCAGCCCAAUUGAAGCUAAGCAGAGCUGAGCCUGAUCAGUACCUGGAUGGGAGACCACAUGGGAAAGCUAGGUUGCUGUUAGAA
This is a non-coding RNA of Danio rerio (zebrafish), 105 nucleotides long. The record is from Rfam. Lineage: Eukaryota; Metazoa; Chordata; Actinopteri; Cypriniformes; Danionidae.